RNAcentral lists this ribosomal RNA (199 nucleotides) under uncultured bacterium. RNAcentral describes it as "partial 16S ribosomal RNA". It matches the Rfam family "Bacterial small subunit ribosomal RNA", at positions 1302 to 1500 of the family's 1533-position model. The record is from RNAcentral.
AGGCUGCAACUCGCCUGCACGAAGUUGGAAUUGCUAGUAAUCGUGGAUCAGCGUGCCACGGUGAAUACGUUCCCGGGCCUUGUACACACCGCCCGUCACACCAUGAGAGUUGGAAAUACCCGAAGCCUGUGAGCUAACAGUAAUGAGGCAGCAGUCGAAGGUAGAGCCAAUGAUUGGGGUGAAGUCGUAACAAGGUAAC